RNAcentral lists this ribosomal RNA (482 nucleotides) under uncultured bacterium. RNAcentral's name for it is "bacterial SSU rRNA". It matches the Rfam family "Bacterial small subunit ribosomal RNA", at positions 43 to 527 of the family's 1533-position model. The record is from RNAcentral.
CAGGCCUAACACAUGCAAGUCGAGUGCGCGCCUGUAGCAAUACAGGUGGCGCACGGCGCACGGGUGCGUAACACGUGGGUAAUCUGCCCUUCGAUGGGGAAUAACUCCGGGAAACCGAAGCUAAUUCCGCAUAACAUUCCUUGAACUUCGGUUUGGGGACUCAAAGCCGUAAGGCGUCGGAGGAGGAACCCGCGCACGAUUAGCUAGUUGGUAGGGUAACGGCCUACCAAGGCUUUGAUCGUUAGCUGGUCUGAGAGGAUGGCCAGCCACACUGGAACUGAGACACGGUCCAGACUCCUACGGGAGGCAGCAGUGGGGAAUCUUGCACAAUGGGCGAAAGCCUGAUGCAGCGACGCCGCGUGGGGGAUGAAGCUUUUCGGAGUGUAAACCCCUUUCGACCCGGACGAAUGUCCCGCAAGGGAACUGACGGUACGGGUAUAAGAAGCCCCGGCUAACUACGUGCCAGCAGCCGCGGUAAUACA